UACGGAGGGGGCAAGCGUUGUUCGGAAUUACUGGGCGUAAAGCGCGCGUAGGCGGCGAUGCAAGUCAGAGGUGAAAUGCCCGGGCUCAACCUGGGAGGUGCCUUUGAUACUGCCAGUCUAGAGUUCGGGAGAGGUGAGCGGAAUUCCGAGUGUAGAGGUGAAAUUCGUAGAUAUUCGGAGGAACACCAGAGGCGAAGGCGGCUCACUGGACCGAUACUGACGCUGAGGAGCGAAAGCGUGGGGAGCAAACAGGAUUAGAUACCCCGGUAGUCC
Molecule: ribosomal RNA, 273 nt
Filed under: uncultured bacterium
Lineage: Bacteria
Description: partial 16S ribosomal RNA
Rfam family: Bacterial small subunit ribosomal RNA
Source: RNAcentral